This 231-nucleotide ribosomal RNA is filed under the name uncultured Actinomycetales bacterium. RNAcentral's name for it is "partial 16S ribosomal RNA". It matches the Rfam family "Bacterial small subunit ribosomal RNA", at positions 100 to 334 of the family's 1533-position model. Lineage: Bacteria; Bacillati; Actinomycetota; Actinomycetes; Actinomycetales. The record is from RNAcentral.
GAACGGGUGAGUAACACGUGGGUGAUCUGCCUUGCACUCUGGGAUAAGCUUGGGAAACUGGGUCUAAUACCGGAUAGGAACCGUCUUUAGUGUGGUGGUUGGAAAGUUUUUUCGGUGCAAGAUGAGCUCGCGGCCUAUCAGCUUGUUGGUGGGGUAAUGGCCCACCAAGGCGUCGACGGGUAGCCGGCCUGAGAGGGUGUACGGCCACAUUGGGACUGAGAUACGGCCCAG